Nematostella vectensis (starlet sea anemone) is the source of this 2133-nucleotide long non-coding RNA. RefSeq lists it as uncharacterized. The transcript is spliced from 2 exons. The record is from RefSeq and is a predicted model, not a curated record. Lineage: Eukaryota; Metazoa; Cnidaria; Anthozoa; Actiniaria; Edwardsiidae.
UUUUAGCUUUCAAGGUUGACAAGUAUGCAAACGGCAGAAAUAUAUCAGACAGAAUCCAUUUUAGAGUGCAUUUCACGUCUAAUUAUCUGAAUUCUCAAUUAUUUUCUGCCUUUGCCGUUGUAAGGGAGCGACCAUUUUCAAUCUAAUGUGUGGGUAUCGAAAAUUUAAAAACUCCAGCAACCCAACUUGCCGGCAAAACAAAUCAAGCAGGACAGAAAACAAAACUUCACCAUCAGAUAUUAUCAUAUGGUCCCUUGUGUUUCAAUUUGACAAAAACGUGCUGUUAUAGAUUCUUUACGAUAUAUGCCUGGUCAUACAUUUGAAUAGACAAGAUUCAGUUGAACCAGGAACGUUUUUUAAUUGUUUUCUUUAUUGUUUUCACACUCUUGUGGUUCGUUUGAAUGGUGAAACGACGCAACCAAACAACGGAAUUCCCGCUAUUCCAGCUAUUUUCUUGUAAACCUGCAUUUGGAAGUAGCACAGCCUGCAAACUAAGGUGACGCUAAGUAUCUAUGUAACUAACAUACAUUAUCAGCGAACGGCGUUCUUUACGUUACCAAAAACAUGUCUAAUGGAAUUCUUAUGACCCAGAAUUGGUUGAAGAACAUUAUUUUUCAUUAAUCAACUAGUUUUGCUUUAGGUCAAACUCAACGCAUUAGAAAACUGUUUUUUAAUUGGAAUAAAAACUGGAGUAAAAAUUGAAACUUUGAUCAGUACUCUAUACAAACUAUACUAUCUGUUGUAAAUCUACAUCUAGGUGAUGUAAAAGAUGGAGAGCAUCCCGUAUAUAAUUGAUGUGAAUGUUGUUGCUAUCCAAAAGCGUUAAAUUAUCAUUACCUUUUUAAAAAUGUUCGCGGGAAAAUCUGAAUAUGAAAGCCCCACUUCAGUGCAAAUUUACGCGGGAGAUUCAAGACAAGAAAUGGAGAGACACUCACAGUCAAAGGUCAUCGAUAUUUGAGAUGUCGUUCCGCUUUUGCUUCUGGUUCUAGAAAAAUGCAAUGAGGGUCGUCCACGGAUUCGAGUAACACCAUCAGGUAGGCUGCACGUGUCAGAAACGACGAGGACCUGCUACUAAACAUCAACGAUGUAGACGUGAUUGCAGCGAAAGUAAAGUCCCACCGCGAAUGCCGGUCGACCUAUGUUGCAAAAAGAAAUCUGUCCUUCGCAGUGGAUGGAGCGGAUAUGUAUACCAUUGCUUUUACUAACCUUAUGGAUAAGAUUCUUCCUGAGAUACAAUCGGGCCGUGCUGUUGAUAUGAAAACCGUGUUACUAUCAUACCAAACGAGCUGGAAGGCCUAGGUUGCGACACAGCAAGAAGCUACAGAACAGAAAGGUUGAAGCGGAGGAUACAACAGACGUAUCCAUGUGAGGUUGUCUUUCACGCGCAAGCGGAUCCAACAAAGCCAGAAUUGCUUUACUCGAGAUCAAUCUCCUUAAAAGAUAUCUUCAACGCCGCAGCAAAGAGCAGUCAUUCCGAGGUAUCCCCUUAAACCAUCUCUCCAGAGCGCGAGAGCGAUAAAACACGACUUCUUUAUCAUGCUGCGCAGCAUCUGAGAAAGAGCAUUCUGAAUGAAAGUCAAGCCAUCCAACCCGUACAUGCAGAGGCCUCAGUGCCAGUAGCGUAAAGUCGCGUGUUGUUCCAAGUGAUCUAUAUGAUUUUUUGUGCUUUCUGAUAACAAGUUCCGAUAAUCUGGACAUCUCAACCCCAACAGCUAUCAGCUCCACCGACGAAAGACGGGUCUUAGCUAUCGCACAAGAUCUCGUGUAUUCCACCACUCAUGCUCGGAUAAAGCCCCCAAAGCACAUAGGUCUUGCAAUGUCUGUGCGUCAUUUGACCGGCUCAAAACAGCUGAUUAAAAUGCUUCACAGAUUCGGUCUUUGCUGCUCUCAAGAUGACGUGGAAGUCGCAGAUACAAGCUUAGCGCAAGAGGAACAGUCGAAGAGGAACAGUAGAAGAGGAACAGUCGAAGAGUCGAGGCUUUUUUUUGUUUUUUUGAUUAGCAUUGGUCUUUUUUUAUUAUUAUGAUAACUGUUUAUUGAUUCUCAAGUGAGGUGAGUAUUUUACAAGACUAAUGUUUUUUUUACAUGAUUACAGAAAUGUAUUAAAUUAAAUAAAUACAUUGUUCACUAUUA